GAGUACCUCAUCUGCGCUGGAAUCAAUGGAUCACAGCUCGAACAAACCCUGGACAUUGACAGUCCCUCUGAAGCUCUGUGCAAUUUUACCAUCACUGAGCAUGCCUGUUCCUCGGCAAGACACCUCACAUCCAGCAACUUGGCCACACUGCUGACGUGCUCGCUGGAAAGCCAAAGGGCACCCCCGGUAGAGGUCUGGAAGCUUCUCUUCCAAAAAACUACUCCUGAACUAGACCAGGCUCUUGUGACAUUCGCCAACACGGCCCCCAACAACAGCAACCCAACCCUGUCACAUGCUCUUGAGGCUCUUGGAGAGGUGGUUUUUGACAACGUCAGUCAGGCACAACUGCAGAGUGUUGACUUUGUCAGCAGCUGGUUCCAGACAAGGAUUGGUCCGUUUUUGGCCUCUUCGUCAACCAACUUCCUCUUCUGCCUUAGCACCAAGGACUUCAGCUGCCAGACGUACCAGAUUGUCAUCCAGGCAUUCAGCAGCCAAAGGCCUUCCAUGGACAGAGAAAGUCAGC
Long non-coding RNA from Chelmon rostratus (copperband butterflyfish), 523 nucleotides. RefSeq lists it as uncharacterized. The transcript has 5 exons. The record is from RefSeq and is a predicted model, not a curated record. NCBI's taxonomy places the organism in Eukaryota, Metazoa, Chordata, Actinopteri, Chaetodontiformes, Chaetodontidae.